UAAUUAGACCAUGUAAAAUUGGCCAGUGUAAACAAAUGUUAAUUUUCUUGGUGUCAAAUUGUUUGUGUUAAGAGGUGUUGAUUUAAGAGUUGUUUUUACACCCUGUGCUAAUAUAACUCCCAAUUGAGAGUUACUGUACAGAGGUUGGGCAGUGGCACUGAGCAGUCUUUUCAUCUAAUUGCCGAUGAUGCAAGGGCAGCUGGAAUUGUGACGUGUGAAAGACUUUUCUCCUACAGUCUGUUCGACACCGAGUGUGUGCACAGACACAUUAUCCCUCUUGUCAAGUGACUUAGACCUGAGAUCUUCAGAAAGACUGUCUAAAAAGGCCCACUCAACAUUAGGAGACGAGGCCAUUGACUCCGCAGCAGCAAAAUAGAGGGUCCGAGAUGCCCUGACUAGUAGACCUGGCGGGCAAGACGUAUUAGAAGAAUACCAGACAACUAAAACAUUGGACCACAGAACCAGGAGAGAGAUUGCCAUCUUAGUCAGCCGCAUGAAAGAGAUGCAUGAGAGGCUUCCCACUCAUCAACAGAGAGAACGUAAUGCUCUUGCAAUUCAGGAGGCCCAACCCAUAGGAGGAAAACUGACCUGGACCAUCAGCUUGUUGGUGAUGCCUGCAAGGAGGCCAUAUCAUUCCUUGUCCACACAGGUGAAUCAGGACUUAUUGCUGAUGUUCGACGAUGAAACGUCCUCUAAGCUCCUUGAAAAAUGGGACACUGUAUUGAAGCCUAAAGUCAUCAAACUGGCAAAAUCCCUAACUACCACAGCUCCUGAAGUCUGCAGAAAAACUGCUGGAGAAUGACAGCAAAACCAACUGUCACAAUAUGUCCUCCCUGAUGCUGCUUCAUCUCCUCCCUCCACCAGCAGGAGGGAAGAGGACCAAACUCAGUGCCAGUGAUGCUGUCGGCAGACUAAUGCACUUUCAUAAGUCAUGCUGCAGCAUUGAAGACCAUCUUGCUGGGAGCCAUGGUCGACAGCCAUACCUCCUUGGCGUCGAAAGAAGACAGAGCAAGAUUGACAACUACUACAUCGUGGUGGACAAGAGGCUAGUUCCCUGCCAGGCAACUAGUGAUCUGUGUGCGUUUGAUGAACUAUUCAAAGUCCACUUUGUCUUUGUCUUUAACCUGACAAACUCAGUAAAAAAAGAAACGUCAACUGCAUUUAUUUUCAUCAAACUUAACGUGUGUAAAUAUUUGUAUGAA
Molecule: long non-coding RNA, 1202 nt
Organism: Oncorhynchus kisutch (coho salmon)
Lineage: Eukaryota; Metazoa; Chordata; Actinopteri; Salmoniformes; Salmonidae
Exons: 7
Source: RefSeq, a predicted model, not a curated record